This 394-nucleotide long non-coding RNA is filed under the name Marmota monax (woodchuck). The record is from RNAcentral. Lineage: Eukaryota; Metazoa; Chordata; Mammalia; Rodentia; Sciuridae.
UAGAUACCGGGAAUUGAACUCAGGAGCACUCAACCACUGAGCCAUAUCCCUAGCCCUCUUUUGUAUUUCAUUUAGAGACAGGGUCUCACCGAGUUGCUUAAGCACCUCACUUUUGCUGCGGCUGGCUUUGAACUCACGAUCCUCCUGCCUCAACCUCCCAAGCUGCUGGGAUUACAGGCGUGUGCCACUGAGCCCGGCUUGCUGUCAUAUUUUUAAAUUUAGAAUUAUUUCAUCUUCAAUAACAAAUGUUUAUUUAGGGAGCAAGUAUGUGCAAGGUGCUUGCUAUUCUAGGUCCUGGGAAUAUUGAGAGAAACAAGCCAUCCAGUCCUUGUGAAAUAUAAAUUUGUAAUUUUGCACUAAUGUCUGAGUUUAGAAAAUAUUUUUUUUCUCUCCA